UUUCAACCUUUGUGUUUCAACCCCCUUGUGUGUGUUUUGGUUCGGAUGCUGAUGUAAGUCCAGUGAUUGGCAUUCGGGCUCCACGUUUGCCUUUGCCUGUGUUUGUUUGUGUGCGUGUCAGCCGAGCUACGAAUGCUCUGAUUCUCCUUCGUCCAAAGGAGAUACGUAUGCAUAGGAUGCGACAUCCUAGCGAGCAUGUGUCGUUUCCCCCAGUCCGAACUACUUUGAC
This 229-nucleotide long non-coding RNA is filed under the name Lathyrus oleraceus (garden pea). RNAcentral's name for it is "Pisum sativum (pea) long non-coding RNA (PSAT_LNC010912)". Lineage: Eukaryota; Viridiplantae; Streptophyta; Magnoliopsida; Fabales; Fabaceae. The record is from RNAcentral.